ACACUCACAUUAUUAUAGGUUUAGACUAGACCCAAAAACUCACCAAAUUUAUAAUCAAGUUCCUAAGUUUCAAGCCUAGGGUUAAGUCCCAACUUCUUUCCAAUAUCAUAAAUCUAAGGGUAUUCACAUAAUACCAUACACAUAACACUUAAUUACAUGUACCAAUAUAUCAAAACUUGAAUCCUAAUAUAAUAACCAAAAAUAUAAAUUUACACCAGACUAACUUAGGAACAGUAACGUGGAAGAAUUGAUCUUUUUCCUGGUUUUUGACACACUCUUUUUCCAACCAAUGAUUGGCUCAUUAUGGCCAAUCACUGGCCCACAUAUGCCUAUUCAUUUAACCCCCC
RNAcentral lists this long non-coding RNA (347 nucleotides) under Solanum tuberosum (potato). Its description in RNAcentral is "long non-coding RNA (STUB_LNC006438)". The record is from RNAcentral. Lineage: Eukaryota; Viridiplantae; Streptophyta; Magnoliopsida; Solanales; Solanaceae.